GAGCAUAUCUAGAAAUUUGCAAAACAAAAACUUUGCUUAAAACAUUUUUAUCAACUAUUAAUUAUAAAAGAUGGUAAUCCACAAGCUUCAAUCUCAAAUCUUAUCAAAUGAAAUAUUUACACAUGGGAAAAAUUAGCUAGCUGCAAAAAAGUCAUGAGCAAAACAAUUAACUACGAUCCAAAGAAAAGAAAAGAAAAAAGUAGCAUGUAGGGGGAAAAAUAGAGAGAGAGAGAAAAAGGAGAUAUGAUCCACCAUUGAAAAUAUGAUCCAAAGAAAAGAUGAUCCAAAGAAAAGAAAAAAGUCGCUUAUGUUCUAACGAAGGAAAAAAUAGAGAGA
RNAcentral lists this long non-coding RNA (336 nucleotides) under Mytilus galloprovincialis (Mediterranean mussel). Lineage: Eukaryota; Metazoa; Mollusca; Bivalvia; Mytilida; Mytilidae. The record is from RNAcentral.